UACAGAGGUCUCAAGCGUUGUUCGGAUUCAUUGGGCGUAAAGGGUGCGUAGGCGGCGCGGUAAGUCGGGUGUGAAAUCUCGGGGCUUAACUCCGAAACUGCAUUCGAUACUACCGUGCUUGAGGACUGGAAAGGAGACUGGAAUUUACGGUGUAGCGGUGAAAUGCGUAGAUAUCGUAAGGAAGACCAGUGGCGAAGGCGGGUCUCUGGACAGUUCCUGACGCUGAGGCACGAAGGCCAGGGGAGCAAACGGG
This 253-nucleotide ribosomal RNA is filed under the name uncultured bacterium. Its description in RNAcentral is "partial 16S ribosomal RNA". It matches the Rfam family "Bacterial small subunit ribosomal RNA", at positions 524 to 776 of the family's 1533-position model. The record is from RNAcentral.